GCCGCGACGCCGCACGCUGAUUGGCUGAAACGCCUCCGCCCGCGAAGACGGGGCACAAAAGUCUUCAUGAAAAGACUCGGAGGCGGCCAGGAAAAUCUCCUCGUUGUUAAAGCUCAUGUGAUGUUGUUCAGGUGCACCCAAAUGUUAUGUAUUCCAGGUGUGCCUGGGCACCUGGCCAGCCUGACCUGAAACAGAGGCGUUUUCUUCAGAGCGGUGGAUUUACAUGGUCUCAUGUGGCUUCUCUACCAUAAAUUGCGCUGCUCAGCUUAUUCAGGUUGGAAUGGUUUGGUUGCCUUGAUCUAUGAGCGGGUGAUCCUGCCACCUUCAGAAACUAAACAAUGCUUUCAUCUUCAGAGGUGGACCAGAAGAGAUAAAGAGGACAGGACACCUUCAGCCCAUUGUACAAUGCAAAUGGUGAACUGAGCACUGCUGGUCUCGCUUUCAAAGCGGAAUAUGCUGUGUUGCAGCCUUGUGGUGGGACUUCAGCUCUUACGCGGCGUAGCUCCAGGAGAAGGCUGUGCUCGUUGGAGCUUUUUUGCCAUCCCCUAAAUGUGUUAGUUCACAGAGGAGUUGUGAAAGUUAAUUAAUACUUGACAAGCACUAUGUAAAUAUUCAGAAUUAAAAGUGUAUUAAUUUAUAUAGCACUUUAAAUGUUAUAUACAUUCAACCUCGAAUGAAACCUCUGGUCCAAAGAUUUAUAAAGAGCUUGUACUUUUUGGCCUGGGGAAGAGGAAAAAUACCUCCUUUUCUUAAGAAAAUAGAAAAGCUUCACUCAAUGUCCUGUUAUGUACUCAUGUGUUCAUAUUGCGCAAUAAAUAUUUACAUAAAAACGUAUCAGUUUUCAAAAAGAACUUGUUAACUCCAUUUUCCAACUGACUUUGGCCCAGUUGGAAAGAUUAUGUAUGCCAGAGGACUGCAGUAAAAGAGAUUUAAAGGUUUUCAAAUAACAUGAAAUAGAGACUAUAAUAAGUGACUAGUGGACCAGUCAGCUAUUUUAAUUAAAACUGGGCUGCUUAUUGAUCUCUCGUGCAGAUUUACCCCCAUCUGCAACAUUUCAGCCAUAUUCCCUUUAACUGUUUCAGAAAAUAGCACUUGCAGGAGAGACUUAAGGAAUAUUGGAGUCGAGAAAGCAAGUGUUUUAUAACUAUGCAACAUUUUUAACAAGGAUUUUCUUUGCUUUUUUUUAUAUGUAAGGUGGUGACA
Molecule: non-coding RNA, 1203 nt
Organism: Phalacrocorax carbo (great cormorant)
Lineage: Eukaryota; Metazoa; Chordata; Aves; Suliformes; Phalacrocoracidae
Source: RefSeq, a predicted model, not a curated record